GUGACCCAAUCCGUGGCCUAGGCUGGGUCAGCCAAGCCUAGUAGCCAGUGGCGACUAGUGCAGCUGACAGUGUAGCUCAGGCUCCCUCUCUGGGGGUUGGGCACACAUGUCAUCUUGACUAGCGCUCCGGGCUAGAUGUAGCCUGCUUUAACUGUGAUGGCAUUCAGUGGGGCCUAGCUGGGCGUUAAAAACGGGCAGAUCGCAGGGGGCUCUGGUCGGCCCUGUGCCACCCGUCGGAAGUCGAACCGGGUGACGCCUCGGGGUUGAAGUGCGUGAAAUGGACUUUAGUUUCCUUUUCUCUGCUUCCUGGCCUCUCAGAAGUGGUCUGCCCUAUCUUCCGCACGUUCCUGUCACUGUGAUGUGCUGCCUCACCACAGGACCUUGGCACAGAGCCAGCCCGCCAUGGAUGAAGACCUCUGAAGCCAUGAGCCUAGCAUUAACAGGUGCACAUGGAAGCUUCUAGAAACCCUUAUCUACACUGGAGAAUAAUCAGGACUGAGCAGCCUGGUGCCUUGCUGGACCCGAUUGCCAAAGUCCCUGCAGCUCUCUGAAGGUGGGGGAUUGCAGUGGGCAUCUGCUCUGUGCAGGUAAAUCAAUGAAGGACGAAGCUGUCUGCCUGGGGAGUCUGUGCCCACUGCUCUCCUCCUUGAAGCUGCAGAAAGGGAAUGUCUGACAGCUUGGUGGGGCCCUGGCCUUGGAGGAGACUUGGUCCGGAACAUUACAGGCCUGAAAGUUGGACAGACCAAGAAGGAAGUUUUAUAGCCUUGCCACAGUUUCCUGGAACACCUGGGAGCUUUGCUGUUGCUAUGGAGACAUCAAGCAACCAAGUCACAAGAAGAAUCACAAAUCAUAAGAAGAAUUUCACUGAAGUUUGAAAUUUUUGAUAAGGAGGUUUACCAGCCUAAGCAAACCUGGAAUCUUCCAGAAGAUAUAAUUUGGCUCCUCCUCUCUGGAAAUAACCUCACAAACCCCUCCAGAGGUGUGACUUACCAUCUCCUACAUGAACUGAAAUCCAGGCAGGUCAACAAACAAGAUUAAUCAUCACUGGUAUUUAACAGACAUUUUUUUAAAAAAGAUGAACAAAAUGAGCCUGUCACUCCCAGGAGAACAACUGCCAGUACCUGUCACUGAUGACAAAACGCAAGCUCUCGAGCAUUACAAUUUAGGGGACCCUUUUAUCUGCCACUAUAAGCUUGACAGACUCUCAAUAUUUAAAGACUUUUUGGAUGAUGUUAAACAUUAGCGAUGUUCUGAAAAGAUGUGAUUAAAAUAAUUCUUUAGAUUUGUUUUCACUUUAUAUUUUACGCAUAUAACUAUUAUGCCUCCAUAUGUAUCUGCGUACCACGAGUAUGCUUGAUGCCCAAGAAGGCCAGAAGGGGUAUUAGAUCUCCUGGAAUUGGAGUUACAGAUAGUUGUGAGUCACCAUUUGGGUUCUGGGAGUCAAACAUGGGUCCUUUACAAGAAAAACCACUAAGCCAUCUCUCCAGCCCAAGGAUGCCAAUUUUGAUGUUAUGAAAUAAAAAUGACUCUUGGAAACUUUCCAUAGCUCUUCAUUUUCCAAGUGACUAGUGCAUUUCUCUUACCUUAACAGAAAGAAAGUGAUGGGGAAGCUAUAAAAUCAACCUUUUCUUGACCUUAGUGGCAAGUGGAAACUUCUUGGCAACCAAAUGGCACAAAAUCUGAAGACCAGGUGUCCCUAAAGAGGAACAGGUCUGGCACUACUUUACCUAUGAUGUCAUGAGAGACUACAGGCACCAUGCAAGCAAGAAACAUAAUAGCCAGUAUAUAUAUAUGAAUACUCUAUCUGUAUGUCCUGAGUGCUAGAAGAGGGCAUUAGAUCCCAUUACAGAUGGUUGUGAGCUAUCAUGUGGUUGCUGAGAAUUGAACUCAGGACCUCUGAAAGAGCUGAGCCAUCUCUCCAGCCCCCUUAAAAAUAUAUUUGUAAAGCGAAUUGUUAGAGUCUGAGUGGGGCUAGCAUAGGAAUCCAGAACUCUGGGUCCUGCUGACUCUAGGAGAGUCUCCCUGGAUUACCAGCACCAAUUAUGAGAAAGAUUAGGGGAGACCAAACAAAUAGUCCAGAGAAGGUUCUAUACUGGUACAGACAUGAGGAGUUGGCUACCCACUGUGUUUGUCCAGGUUCUGUUGCUACUUCAAAUUACCCGAGACUGAAGAACUUAUAGAAAAUGAAGUUUUGUUUUGUUGGUUGUUUUUUGUUUGUUUUUGUUUUUUUAGAAUUCACAUUUCUGGACACUUUGUGAAUUCAAAUUCACAUUUCAACAGUAUAAUGUGGGCAUCGGUGAAGACCUCAAUGCCUCAGUACAUGGCUUUGGGAGGCAGAGGAAGUGUGUUAACAAUUUUCUCUGAGUUCAAAACUUUUCUAUGGACUGCCACUCUUGGUGGGAAGUUCCUCUAUCCUGUUGCUGUAGUAAGAAAUCUAACUUCUUCAGGAUUCCAGGGUAGAUUGAAGACCAGAAGAGCUCCAGGAAUUCUUUCAGGACUCCAGCAGCAGAUUUGGGCUGCAGAGACAUCCAGCCACUGGACCUGAAAAACUAUUGGAUUCUUAGCUAUUCUGUAGUGAGAUAGCCAGCCAUCGUUGGGCUACUCUGUCCACAGAAGGAAGAGUACCACACAAGGGUCUUGGAGAGUCUCACAUCAGCUGAGCUGCCUGGAGGAGACUCUGACCAGUCCAGCUGCCUGGAGUUUUUGUGCGCUCCUCAUGCUGCGGUGGUGUUUUUGGUGAUACAGUUCACCCACACUCUUGUUGAUAACCCCUCACCCGUACAACUGUAAAAAAGUCCAAAAGAUUCAUUGCUUCACCAAGUUAGCCUUUGAUAGAAUUCUUUAAAACAAACAA
Molecule: long non-coding RNA, 2854 nt
Organism: Mus musculus (house mouse)
Lineage: Eukaryota; Metazoa; Chordata; Mammalia; Rodentia; Muridae
Product: predicted gene, 30684
Exons: 8
Source: RefSeq, a predicted model, not a curated record